RNAcentral lists this ribosomal RNA (449 nucleotides) under uncultured bacterium. RNAcentral's name for it is "partial 16S ribosomal RNA". It matches the Rfam family "Bacterial small subunit ribosomal RNA", at positions 29 to 523 of the family's 1533-position model. The record is from RNAcentral.
AACGAACGCUGGCGGCAGGCUUAACACAUGCAAGUCGAACGCAUCCUUCGGGGUGAGUGGCAGACGGGUGAGUAACGCGUGGGAACGUGCCCUUCAGUUCGGGAUAACCCAGGGAAACUUGGGCUAAUACCGGAUACGUGCGAGAGCAGAAAGAUUUAUCGCUGAAGGAUCGGCCCGCGUCUGAUUAGCUAGGUGGUGGGGUAAUGGCCCACCAAGGCGACGAUCAGUAGCUGGUCUGAGAGGAUGAUCAGCCACAUUGGGACUGAGACACGGCCCAAACUCCUACGGGAGGCAGCAGUGGGGAAUAUUGGACAAUGGGCGCAAGCCUGAUCCAGCCAUGCCGCGUGAGUGAUGAAGGCCUUAGGGUUGUAAAGCUCUUUCGUCCGGGACGAUAAUGACGGUACCGGAACAAGAAGCCCCGGCUAACUUCGUGCCAGCCGCCGCUGUAA